CUGCCACCGUAAGGUGAGAGGAAGUGGGGAUGACGUCAAAUCAGCACGGCCCUUAUGUCCAGGGCUACACACGUGUUACAAUGGUCGGUACAGAGGGCAGCUACCUGGUGACAGGAUGCUAAUCUCGAAAACCGGUCUCAGUUCGGAUCGAAGUCUGCAACUCGACUUCGUGAAGCUGGAUUCGCUAGUAAUCGCGCAUCAGCUAUGGCCGCGUCCGAUACGUUCCGGCCUU
RNAcentral lists this ribosomal RNA (232 nucleotides) under uncultured Sphingobacteriales bacterium. RNAcentral describes it as "partial 16S ribosomal RNA". It matches the Rfam family "Bacterial small subunit ribosomal RNA", at positions 1149 to 1374 of the family's 1533-position model. The record is from RNAcentral. Lineage: Bacteria; Pseudomonadati; Bacteroidota; Sphingobacteriia; Sphingobacteriales.